UACGGAGGAUGCGAGCGUUAUCCGGAUUUAUUGGGUUUAAAGGGAGCGUAGACGGGGGAUUAAGUCAGUUGUGAAAGGCUGCGGCUCAACCGCAGCACUGCAGUUGAUACUGGUUCCCUUGAGUGCGGUUGAGGUAUGUGGAAUUCGUGGUGUAGCGGUGAAAUGCUUAGAUAUCACGAAGAACUCCGAUUGCGAAGGCAGCAUACUAAGCCGUAACUGACGUUGAGGCUCAAAAGUGUGGGUAUCAAACAGG
RNAcentral lists this ribosomal RNA (253 nucleotides) under uncultured bacterium. RNAcentral's name for it is "partial 16S ribosomal RNA". It matches the Rfam family "Bacterial small subunit ribosomal RNA", at positions 524 to 776 of the family's 1533-position model. The record is from RNAcentral.